UCCGCUCCGCUGCCGGGCCUCCAGCGAGCUCCGCGCGUCCGGGUCCGGGAGGGAGCCAAGGGCUCCCUGGUUCAAAGGGCCGCAGCCCAAGGGGAUGCCCUCCUCGUGUGCCCUGGGGUGGAGAAGCAGACUGCAGGGCGGUGGGACCAGCCUGGGCCACGGAGUUCUAGAACUGGAGUGAGAACCUAGAAGUGGGAAAGAACACCUGUGACAUGGCCAGCACAUCCUUUGCACAUCCCAAAGGUGGUAUCACACCCAUCGACUUCCUAAACUCUUCAGGUGUUGAAGACACACGCACAAUGUCUGGGGGACUCUGGCACCCACCAACACCCUCCCUUAGAGUACUCUACAGUGACUUCUGAGGGGGUUGGCCAGGGAUAUGGAAAUAAUUUUUGGACAGUUUGACUCACUGAAGAAAUAGAUGAAGCAGUUUGAUAACUAAGCCAGGUGAAAGUUCCCUGGAUCCUGACCUAAGAUUCACUUAACAUUUUUCUUUCCUUGCUUCCUUGUCCCCGCACUAUUUUUCUUUCUCAAGUCCACUCCGCCCAAAGAGUAAAAUAGGGGUCCUUUAUUUGAGGACUGCUUCUCAACAGAGUGUAGUAUGCAGCUUUGUAGGUCCAGAACUUUCCCACAACCGAGCUCCUUAUUCAGGGUGGGGCAUAGGCCAGGCACGACCUCUGCUCCGGGCUCUCUAGGGAGGCUAGUCCCCUACCUGAGGCCCUCUCAAGGGCUCGGGGCUGCCUGUGGAGCCGCUAGUUCUCUGUAGCCGGCCCUGCAGGAGUUAAAGCCCCAGACAGACAAAAGCGAGGCUGCCGCAGCUCCUUUUCUUGGCUGUCAGUUGCAAAUAGAACCGCUGCCCUCUGUACUUUAACUCCCGACAGAAAGGGCAUUUUAUUACAGGCUAUGACAAGUUGCAGGGAGACCGCGGAGAACUCAAUAAGAAGGAGCGGCGAGUGGAAUCAAAAACCCUCGGAAUGUUUGGAAGACUGACCGAAGAUGGCUCCAAAUGAUAGGCGGGAAACGGACGCUUCCCUCUCCCGAGUUGGUUUCUUCCCGGUCCUCUGCGAGAAGCUGUCUUCCUACGAAGAGCCUUUUGCAAACUUCUACUAGACUUUAUUCGAGUUUUCCCCGACCCUCUCUUCCUCUGAGUUCCCCUCUUCUCACGAAGUUAGCAUGGGAGGAGAGAAGUGAUACCAGGGAAAGGAAGAGACAUAUUUUCUGCCCCCACCCCGCUUGUUGCUUAGUAAAGGGGCCUCAGUCUGAGCUACCCAGGGUCUUUCUAGGAACUGCUGUCUGAGAGCCGAGAGCGUGUCCUCCUCCCUACCCGCCCCCAGCAGUUCUGUACGCGCUUUUAAUAACCUAUCUCCCAGUGAAAAACAGUGCUGCGUGGAAACUGUGCAAACCGGUAGAACUGCUCUUCCCUAAAGUGCGAUAGUGGGGACCCCCACUACAAAAUAAGCACGCUAGCUAGAGGCGGACCUUGUAGGAUUCAGGUUAACUUGAGGAUGCCAGCUCAGUUGGAGAGUGCUGAAGAAGGGACUUCCGAGGAAACUUGUAAUACAAAAGGUGAAAUAUGUUUAUCCCAACUCCACGCACAGACUCCUUGCCAAGAAAGGCAGAGUUGGUAGUUGUCAAAGCUAGCAGUGCCUGCUGCCCCUCUCCCCCAAGCUCAUUUGCUUGCUGGGUCCAGCUCAGCCGAAGCCCCAAAUAAGAAAGAUUACAAACAGUAAUACUCAGGGCACUGUGCAAAUGGUUAUAAAAAACUGCACUCCCUUUCCCUUUUUUUUAAAAAACCUAUAGAAGUAAAAGCAUGAACAAUCUUACAUAAUUCCAUAAUCGAGACAGAAAAAGCAGAUACACUGUAAAUUCAUAGCUUAUGGCCAAUUGUUUUCUCGCUUCCUGUGUCCUGCUCGGUAAAAAACAAGCAAAACUAAAGUUAGCUGAAGCUUUUGGGUUCUUCUUUAACUGGAGAAAUUGUAAGAAUCUAAGGUUUUAAAAGUUUGGGGUUUCAACAAGACCAUUUCUUGGAUACAUUUUGCCAGGUCCCCUGCCCAUGCAAACAAAACAGUGCCUUCUAACUUUGUUUUCUCAACUUUCUCAACCUCACCCCAAGUUUUUUGUUUUUUGUUUUUCUUCUUCACAGAACUUGAUGCGUUUUCCUCCGUUUCUGCCAAAGUGUUUCUGACUUUGAUAAAUAUUAAUUAUCCUUCCUCUCUCUGGAGUUUUGCUACACUCUCCACUCACUUGCAUCAGCAUAGAACAGAUCCUCACCUCUCAGAUCUGACUAAGAAGGUUCACGUGGUUAGGAGUGAGUCUGAAACAAUGCCCUGGGUACCCAUUGUGUGCUGAAUAACCACCACAGAAAUGGAUAUUAAAAUUAAAUAGCCACAAAACUAAGAGGGUGGGGUAAACAUACCACAAAACAUGAUUUUUUACUAACAAGGAAGUUAUAAGGUGAACGAAUGUAAUGGGUUCUGCUUCUUCCUCUGUCAUGAUAUACGACUAGCAAUAACUGGACAACGAAGAGAAAACUCUGCUUCUCUAUUAUUUUGUUAGAAAUCUUUCAGAACUGAACAAAUGCAGAAUGUUUGUUCCUCGAAAAACCAUGUGCUUACUACUGCCGAAUAAAUCUUUAAAAGGCUGUAGUCCUCAUUAAAUAAGUAGCAUAUGAAAUAAUUUAAUAAACUCUGUCAAAAGAGUUCCUUCAAUAUUUUGGUUUUGAAAUGGUUGUGAGGGGGACACUGGAAACGAAAUUACUUCCUCGGCAUGGUCCGUGUGAAUGUGAAUCCUGAAAUAGCAGAGAGGGCAACAGUGGCCAUAGAGCAAUGUGAGCCAGGCUGGGGUGGCACUCCCUGACCCUGUGUGCAUCUGGGAAAGGCAAAGGUGCACCUCAGUCUUCAUAUUUUUCCUUCCCUCUUUCAAUAUGGAAUCUUGUUUCAAUUUAUGCUCCAGAAUAAAACUCCAGUGCACUUUAAA
Long non-coding RNA from Myodes glareolus (Bank vole), 2976 nucleotides. RefSeq lists it as uncharacterized. The record is from RefSeq and is a predicted model, not a curated record. Lineage: Eukaryota; Metazoa; Chordata; Mammalia; Rodentia; Cricetidae.